AGUGAACGCUGGCGGCAGGCCUAAUACAUGCAAGUCGAACGGCAGCACAGUGGGGCUUGCUCCAUGGGUGGCGAGUGGCGGACGGGUGAGGAAUACAUGGGAAUCUGCCCAUUCGUGGGGGAUAACGUAGGGAAACUUACGCUAAUACCGCAUGCGCCCUUCGGGGGAAAGCCGGGGAGCUCUGGGCCCGUUGCGCUUGGGAGUGCCCAUGUUGGAUUAGCUAGUUGGCGGGGUAAAGGCCCACCAAGGCGACGAUCGGUAGCUGGUCUGAGAGGAUGAUCAGCCACACUGGAACUGAGACACGGUCCAGACUCCUACGGGAGGCAGCAGUAGGGAAUAUUGGACAAUGGGCGCAAGCCUGAUCCAGCCAUGCCGCGUGAGUGAAGAAGGCCCUCGGGUUGUAAAGCUCUUUUGUCGGGGAAGAAAAGCAGCGGGCUAAUACCCCGGUGUUCUGACGGUACCGAAAGAAUAAGCACCGGCUAACUUCGUG
This 490-nucleotide ribosomal RNA is filed under the name uncultured bacterium. Its description in RNAcentral is "partial 16S ribosomal RNA". It matches the Rfam family "Bacterial small subunit ribosomal RNA", at positions 29 to 507 of the family's 1533-position model. The record is from RNAcentral.